GACGAACGCUGGCGGCGUGCCUAAUACAUGCAAGUCGAACGCUGAAGGAGGAGCUUGCUUCUCUGGAUGAGUUGCGAACGGGUGAGUAACGCGUAGGUAACCUGCCUGGUAGCGGGGGAUAACUAUUGGAAACGAUAGCUAAUACCGCAUAAUAGCAGUUAUUGCAUGAUAACUGUUUGAAAGGUGCAAUUGCACCACUACCAGAUGGACCUGCGUUGUAUUAGCUAGUUGGUGGGGUAACGGCUCACCAAGGCGACGAUACAUAGCCGACCUGAGAGGGUGAUCGGCCAACCUGGGACUGAGACACGGCCCAGACUCCUACGGGAGGCAGCAGUAGGGAAUCUUCGGCAAUGGACGGAAGUCUGACCGAGCAACGCCGCGUGAGUGAAGAAGGUUUUCGGAUCGUAAAGCUCUGUUGUAAGAGAAGAACGAGUGUGAGAGUGGAAAGUUCACACUGUGACGGUAUCUUACCAGAAAGAGACGGCUAACUACGUG
This 495-nucleotide ribosomal RNA is filed under the name uncultured bacterium. RNAcentral's name for it is "partial 16S ribosomal RNA". It matches the Rfam family "Bacterial small subunit ribosomal RNA", at positions 28 to 507 of the family's 1533-position model. The record is from RNAcentral.